AGAGUUUGAUCCUGGCUCAGGAUGAACGCUGACAGAAUGCUUAACACAUGCAAGUCUACUUGAUCCUUCGGGUGAUGGUGGCGGACGGGUGAGUAACGCGUAAAGAACUUGCCUUGCAGUCUGGGACAACGUCUGGAAACGGACGCUAAUACCGGAUAUUAUGAUUGAAUCGCAUGAUUUGAUUAUGAAAGCUAUAUGCGCUGCGAGAGAGCUUUGCGUCCCAUUAGUUAGUUGGUGAGGUAACGGCUCACCAAGACGAUGAUGGGUAGCCGGCCUGAGAGGGUGAACGGCCACAAGGGGACUGAGACACGGCCCUUACUCCUACGGGAGGCAGCAGUGGGGAAUAUUGGACAAUGGACCAAAAGUCUGAUCCAGCAAUUCUGUGUGCACGAUGAAGUUUUUCGGAAUGUAAAGUGCUUUCAGUUGGGAAGAAGAAAGUGACGGUACCAACAGAAGAAGCGACGGCUAAAUACGUGCCAGCAGCCGCGGUAAUACGUAUGUCGCAAGCGUUAUCCGGAUUUAUUGGGCGUAAAGCGCGUCUAGGCGGUUUGGUAAGUCUGAUGUGAAAAUGCGGGGCUCAACUCCGUAUUGCGUUGGAAACUGUCAAACUAGAGUACUGGAGAGGUAGGCGGAACUACAAGUGUAGAGGUGAAAUUCGUAGAUAUUUGUAGGAAUGCCGAUGGGGAAGCCAGCCUACUGGACAGAUACUGACGCUAAAGCGCGAAAGCGUGGGUAGCAAACAGGAUUAGAUACCCUGGUAGUCCACGCCGUAAACGAUGAUUACUAGGUGUUGGGGGUCGAACCUCAGCGCCCAAGCUAACGCGAUAAGUAAUCCGCCUGGGGAGUACGUACGCAAGUAUGAAACUCAAAGGAAUUGACGGGGACCCGCACAAGCGGUGGAGCAUGUGGUUUAAUUCGACGCAACGCGAGGAACCUUACCAGCGUUUGACAUCCCAAGAAGUUAACAGAGAUGUUUUCGUGCCUCUUCGGAGGAACUUGGUGACAGGUGGUGCAUGGCUGUCGUCAGCUCGUGUCGUGAGAUGUUGGGUUAAGU
RNAcentral lists this ribosomal RNA (1054 nucleotides) under uncultured Fusobacteriota bacterium. Its description in RNAcentral is "bacterial SSU rRNA". It matches the Rfam family "Bacterial small subunit ribosomal RNA", at positions 8 to 1085 of the family's 1533-position model. Lineage: Bacteria; Fusobacteriati; Fusobacteriota. The record is from RNAcentral.